This 301-nucleotide ribosomal RNA is filed under the name uncultured bacterium. Its description in RNAcentral is "partial 16S ribosomal RNA". It matches the Rfam family "Bacterial small subunit ribosomal RNA", at positions 509 to 807 of the family's 1533-position model. The record is from RNAcentral.
CAGCCGCCGCGGUAAUACGAAGGGUGCAAGCGUUAAUCGGAAUUACUGGGCGUAAAGCGUGCGUAGGCGGUGAGUUAAGUCUGCUGUGAAAUCCCCGGGCUCAACCUGGGAAUGGCAGUGGAUACUGGCUCGCUAGAGUGUGUCAGAGGAUGGUGGAAUUCCCGGUGUAGCGGUGAAAUGCGUAGAGAUCGGGAGGAACAUCAGUGGCGAAGGCGGCCAUCUAGGACAACACUGACGCUGAGGCACGAAAGCGUGGGGAGCAAACAGGAUUAGAUACCCCGGUAGUCCCUGUCUCUUAUAC